AGUGAACGCUGGCGGUAGGCCUAACACAUGCAAGUCGAACGGCAGCACAGUAAGAGCUUGCUCUUAUGGGUGGCGAGUGGCGGACGGGUGAGGAAUACAUCGGAAUCUACUUUUUCGUGGGGGAUAACGUAGGUAAACUUACGCUCAUACCGCAUCCGACCUUCGGGUGAAAGCAGGGGAUCUUCUGACCUUGCGCGAUUGAAUGAGCCGCUGUCGGAUUAGCUAGUUGGCGGGGUAAUGGCCCACCAAGGCGACGAUCCGUAGCCGGUCUGGGGGGAUGGUACGCCCCAGUGGGAGUGAGACACCGUCCAGACGACUAAGGGAAGCCGCAGUGGGGAAUAGUGGACAAUGGGGGGAAAGCUGGACCAGCCAUAACGCGGGGGUGAAAGAAGCCUUCGGGGUGGAAAGCCCUUUUUUUGGGAAAAAAAAGCAGCCGGUUAAGACCCCGCGGGUCUGACGGUAACCAAAAAAGAAGCACCGGCUAACUUCGUG
RNAcentral lists this ribosomal RNA (492 nucleotides) under uncultured bacterium. RNAcentral describes it as "partial 16S ribosomal RNA". It matches the Rfam family "Bacterial small subunit ribosomal RNA", at positions 29 to 507 of the family's 1533-position model. The record is from RNAcentral.